This 301-nucleotide ribosomal RNA is filed under the name uncultured bacterium. RNAcentral's name for it is "partial 16S ribosomal RNA". It matches the Rfam family "Bacterial small subunit ribosomal RNA", at positions 509 to 807 of the family's 1533-position model. The record is from RNAcentral.
CAGUAGCCGCGGUAAUACGUAGGUGGCAAGCGUUGUCCGGAAUUAUUGGGCGUAAAGGGCUCGCAGGCGGUUUCUUAAGUCUGAUGUGAAAGCCCCCGGCUCAACCGGGGAGGGUCAUUGGAAACUGGGAAACUUGAGUGCAGAAGAAGAGAGUGGAAUUCCACGUGUAGCGGUGAAAUGCGUAGAGAUGUGGAGGAACACCAGUGGCGAAGGCGACUCUCUGGUCUGUAACUGACGCUAAGGAGCGAAAGCGUGGGGAGCGAACAGGAUUAGAGACCCCCGUAGUCCCUGUCUCUUAUAC